GGUCCCGUAGCUCAGCAGGAUAGAGCAAUCGUUUCCUAAACGAUGGGUCGGGGGUUCAAGUCCCUUCGGGACCG
Molecule: transfer RNA, 74 nt
Filed under: Candidatus Phycosocius bacilliformis
Lineage: Bacteria; Pseudomonadati; Pseudomonadota; Alphaproteobacteria; Caulobacterales
Rfam family: tRNA
About the family: Transfer RNA (tRNA) molecules are approximately 80 nucleotides in length. Their secondary structure includes four short double-helical elements and three loops (D, anti-codon, and T loops).
Source: Rfam by way of RNAcentral